Molecule: ribosomal RNA, 140 nt
Filed under: Priestia megaterium
Lineage: Bacteria; Bacillati; Bacillota; Bacilli; Caryophanales; Bacillaceae
Description: Bacillus megaterium partial 23S ribosomal RNA
Rfam family: Bacterial large subunit ribosomal RNA
Source: RNAcentral
AUGGUUAAGUUAGAAAGGGCGCACGGUGAAUGCCUUGGCACUAGGAGCCGAUGAAGGACGGGACUAACACCGAUAUGCUUCGGGGAGCUGUAAGUGAGCUUUGAUCCGGAGAUUUCCGAAUGGGGAAACCCACUGUUCGU